Molecule: transfer RNA, 72 nt
Filed under: Penaeus monodon (black tiger shrimp)
Lineage: Eukaryota; Metazoa; Arthropoda; Malacostraca; Decapoda; Penaeidae
Description: tRNA-Pro
Rfam family: tRNA
About the family: Transfer RNA (tRNA) molecules are approximately 80 nucleotides in length.
Source: RNAcentral
GGCCUGAUGGUCUAGGAGUAUGAUUCUCGCUUUGGGUGCGAGAGGUCCCGGGUUCAAAUCCCGGUCAGGCCC